Pelobates cultripes (western spadefoot toad) is the source of this 6929-nucleotide non-coding RNA. The record is from the annotation of a GenBank genome assembly. Lineage: Eukaryota; Metazoa; Chordata; Amphibia; Anura; Pelobatidae.
CCUCAACUGAUUCUGCUGACUGGUAAGUCCCCUCCCUCUCCCUUUCCUUAAGAACCCCAAUCUUAGCAACAUUCUAACUUCCAUGAUCCAUCCCACUAUCUUGGGCAGCAGUCAUGUUCCCCCUUCCUUAUUGUUCCAGGGGGAAUCUCUUUUUUUCAGCUCUAAAAAAUUGUGUUGUAUUUACUCUUAUUGUUUAAUAUUACUUGUCUGCUAAUUUGUCUAUCAUUUUCCUGUACAUUCUUCUAGCUUGUGUGUUCUCCAUUUGUCCUCAGUGCAGGGUACUUGCCCCUCCCCUAGGGCAAGCCCCAUCCUGCACUGCCGUUUCGGGUUGUUUAUAACCCGUAUCUCCCAAUUUCCCACUGGGUGGGGGAUGAUCCCGGGACCCCAAGGUACCCCCCACCCCCUCCUCACCUCCCCAGCUCAGACAGAGUAGCUUAGCCGCCCAAUGGACGGCUAUUAAUAUAACCGCCACUUAGACCGCCCGCACAUUCGCGGUUCGCUCCCGCGCAUCGCUGCGGCCAUCUUGUGGUUGGAAAAUGUGCCGCUCCUUUCGCCCACAGCCCGGAACGAGUGGCGCGAGCUGAAGCUACCAUAUUAUUUGUGCCAUUUUUGUGAUUUGUGCCUCACUAGUUUGAGCCUUGCCCUAGGUGGAUGUAUAUCUGUAUACAGUGUCGCCAUGGGGGUGAUGUCAGGCACCCUGUCUCACUCUAUCUCAUCCGCUAUCAGGGCAUCCAGCCGAACCCCUGGCUCAGCACCCCCUAUAUCCUCUGAAAGCAAGCCAAUGGUCCCUAGCGGCCGCAAGGCUACAUGCAAAUUGCACUAUCUACCAGGUGCUGCCUCCAAAACCAGUAUGAUGGACAGGUUGCGCCCUGUUGAGUCUGAGGACAUGGUGCUCCCACGUAAAAGAGCCCCCCGCUGGGCAAAAGCGGUGCGGAAUUGGAAGAGGGCAAAAGCACUACCUGAUUCGUCCGACUCUGAUUCGGACUCAGAGGAGGUUUCAGAGGGGUCCGAUACCAUCGACCCGGUCUAUUCAGAUAACUCGUCCCCCGAACGCAGCAAGACUGCACCUCCAGCGAUAGACGCUGAGCAAGAGAUGGAUGAAUCAUUGUUAGAUCCCCAAGGGGAACCCCUCUUUGACCCUGACACCUUGCACAAUCCGUGCUCAGCGGACUGGUACCCCACAACUCAUGUGGCCAUUUACAUGGCGACCAGGGUGAGGAAACCCCUCGACAAGGCCACAAGGAACAAGCUGAGGGCGGAAUUCCCACACCCCACUGUCUUAGACAUGGCCUGCGUGACCCCCGAGGUGGACCCCAAGAUCGCUCAGUUCCUGGGCAAGUCAGGAUGGAAGGCCAAAAGGGGACUGGACUUUUCCCUAAAACAUUGCCAAGACAAGAUCCUAUACAUACUCGGGCCUAUAGCCAAAAUCUUUGACAUGGUCGAAGCAGUCCUUACUGAGGGGACCUCAAUUGAUUUAAUGGCCAUCAAAGGAUGGAUCCAGAGAGGCAUAUGCCUAAUUGGAAAUGCCAAUACCGCUUUGGCCACAGAACAGCGUAAAGCCAUAUUAAUGAUAAUUGAGCCAAAAUUUAUACAUCUGGCAAUCUCCGAGCCUGGCACACAGGCAAAAGGUCUCCUAUUCGGAGACGACUUUGUCAAAACCCUGGGCAAUAAUGUCAGCACAUUCACAGCACUAGAUAAGGCACAACAUAAUAUGAAGUGGGUGUUCUCGCAAAAGGUUUUCAGUGGGGCCGGCAGACAGUGGGGCCGUCUGUCCGGCCGCCACUCCUGGACUUCGUUCCGGGGCUACCGAGGCUCCGCGUACAACAAGGUUCCAUCUGCCCGAACCAAAGGCACAGUCACCGUUCUUCCCGACCAGGGGUAGGUCGUGGCACCCAGGUGGAACCAGGGGAUCCUCCUAUGGCCGUCGGCCUUAUGGUGAGUCAUUUCCCAUUACAGAUCCGUUCCUUAUCACAUGUGGGGGGCAGAUUGUUUCAUUUCCAAGAUCCUUGGCACAAACUAAUCUCAGAUGCUUGGGUCCUAGAGACCAUCCUAAGCUACCACAUCGAAUUCACACAACAACCAAUUCAAUUCUCAUUACCACAUCGGAUUGUUUUUUCCCCACGAGACAAAAAUCUGAUAUCAGAAGAGAUUCGCACACUAGAGGAGAAAGGCGUGAUCUACAAAGUCUCAGCUACCGUCCUAAGCAACAUCUUCCUAGUACCCAAGAAAGGUGGGGUAACGAGACCAGUAAUAAACUUGCGGCCUCUCAACGCCUUUGUCACAUACCAUCACUUCAAGAUGGAAGGGAUACACUGCCUCCGAGACCUGCUAAGACUGGGAGACUGGAUGGUAAAAUAGGUCCUCCAAGAUGCAUACCUCACGAUACCGAUCGCCGAGGAAUGUCACCACCUACUUCAAUUCCAAUGGGAAAACACUAUGUGGCCUUUCCGUUGCCUCCCUUUCGGCCUGUCUUCAGCCCCGUGUUGCUUCACCAAGCUGCUGAAACCGGUAGUCGCUCUUCUUCGCAGCAGAGGUGUAUGUAUGAUCAUAUACCUCGACAACAUGCUGAUCAUGGCCCACGACACCCAGCUAUUGAACCAGCAUCUAUCCUGGGCGUUGAUUCUUCUGCAAAAUCUGGGUUUCCUAAUCAAUUGGGACAAAUCAAUCCUGCAACCUUCCCACUCGAUAGAGUUUCUGGGCUUCGAUAUAGAUGCAAUUCACGGAACGCUCAGUUUACCUACCACGAAGGUAAAACUCAUCAAGAAAGAAAUCCGGAGGACAUUGACACGACCAGUCUUAACCCUCCGACAGGUAGCCAGGAUAAUCGGCCUGCUAUCUGCCUCCAUACAAGCGAUCUUCCCAGGACCUCUCCAUUACAGAUCCCUGCAACAGCUCAAAGCCACCCACCUACGCUUGGGUCAAUCCUAUUCAGAUUCUGUACCUCUAGAAUACGCAGCAAAAGAGGAACUGGCAUGGUGGCUUCAACACAUGGAAGCAUGGAAGGGCAAGGAAUCCAUUAUAGAAUCCAACGCGAGCAGACUUGGAUGGGGUGCUCAUUGUGGUCCCACCUCUACAGGUGGAAAAUGUUCUUCAGAAGAAAAAGAACUCCACAUGAAUGGUUUGGAACUCCUAGCUGGGUCAUUUGCCCUCGGAGCCUCCUCGGACACACAACCAGUUGUUCCAUACUUCUGCGCAUGGACAAUAUCUCGCUACUUCAAUCCCUUGGGUGGCACGAGAUCCUCAAUACUCACGAACCUGGCGAAAGGAUUUUGGCACUUCUGCCUGAGUCGCAACAUAUCAGUACAGGCGGAAUACCUUCCAGGAAUCUCCAACACCGUAGUGGAUUGGAACUCCAGACACUUACGAGACAACAGCGCCUGGCGAUUGAAUCGCACAAUAUUUCAGAAGCUCCACCAACUCUGGGGACCGAUGCACAUUGGACUUUUUGCCUCCCGGCUGAAUGCUCAACUUCCCUCAUUCUUCAGCUGGAGACCGGACCCAGACGCCAUGGCAGUGGACGCCUUCCUACAAAACUGGCCGAACAACAGGCUAUACGCCUUUCCUCUCUUCUCACUCAUAGCGCGAACUCUCCAACACCUACAAUGCUCCCGAGCAUCGUUGGUUUUAAUAACACCAUUCUGGACGGCACAGCCUUGGUUCCCUUCACUCAUGGAAAUGUCUAUCGACCUUCCCAGAUUGACCCCACAAUGCACGGAACUAUUAUCAGACCCCGAUGGGAACUCUCACCCACUUCUAGUGCAAGGCCACCUCAGACUUCUAGCAUAGCUCCUCUCAGGGGACCCUGGACCAUGCCGAAUGUUUCACAAACAACUUUGGACUUAUUGGCAGGAGCUUGGGCCCCAGGAACAAGACGAUCCUAUACUCAUGCCUGGAACACAUGGUGUAGUUGGUGCGUGGAACAACACGUGGAUCCCCUACGUGCUCCUGUAAAUCAGGUCCUGGGUUUCCUUACUACCCUAUAUGAUCAAGGCUUGGCUUACCGCACCAUAAACAUCUAUAGAUCAUCGAUUUCAGCUGGGCACAACGGAUGGGAGGGUUACACUUAUUGGUCUGUUGUCUUCUACGAGGCAUAAAAUUUGCACGUCCACCACAACCCCACUACACGGCCUUAUCGGAUCUUAAUAUGGUCCUUCGUUUGUUGGAAGACUGACCUCCAAACUCGGAUCUCACACUCAAACAAGUGUCCGCAAAAUUAGCUAUGCUCCUGUGCUUAAUUUCCUGCAAAAGGGUAUCAGACGUUCGAGCCCUGGAUAUCGAUGCAUGGUCCUUCACCCCACAUGGCAUGGUGUCCUGUUUAAUAUCACCAGACGUACGAAGUCUAAAAUCACGUCAGUCUUCUAUCCCUCCUUUCCUCACAAUGCUAACCUGUGCCCAGUUGGCAUGCCUGCGGGAAUACAAACUGCGGACCCAGUCAUUCCGGAACCCAACAACACACGACCUGUUCUUGGCAGUGAGGAAACCUCAUCAGUAUCCACGGGAACUCUUGCACGCUGGGUGAAAUGGAUAAUGUCAGCUGCUAACAUCGACACAUCAGUUUACGAAGCGCAUUCUACUAGGGGCGCUAUGGCCUCUAAAGCAUUCUCCAUUGGUUGUAAAUUGGAAGACCUCCUCCGCAUAGCUGAUUGGUCCCGAGAAUCGACGUUCAAAGAAAACUAUUUUUGUCCAACAGAACAUAUCUCGUCUAUGGUCAUCUCACAGCUUUAAACUAGCCUAAUAUGAGCUAUACAUGUGCAAUUAGUUUCGGGCCGAAUAUGUAUUCGGACGAAUUUCUGGAAAUUCGGACAUUCGGGUACUUCCAAAUGUCCGAAGUGCCGAAUUACCGAGGUCCCGAAGUUCCGAAAUUACCGAAUUUCCAAAGUGUCGAAGUUCUGAAGCAUAGUUUUGCCUAAGUAUUAAUAUACUUACCCAGUGGAAGAAGAAUAAUGUUACACUGUAUACAAUUGUAAAUAAAAAGUAUACAAACAUAGCCAGGAUUCAGCUGUAAGCAUUUGCAACACUUACAACAAUCAAGUAACAUACAUUCAUAUAAAAUGUAAGUUACUAUGACAGGAAUGAAUAAGUAGAUAACUCCCUAAUUCCCACGGUAUUAGGGAGCUAUCUACUAAAAGGCUGAAAGACCUAAAUUGGUCUUUCAGACAAAUUUACUAAUACUAAGUAAAGAUUACUUACCGCAAGUAGGGGCAUGUCUAUUAAACAGUGAGCAGCAUAAGGCUGCUCACUGUAAAAAAAAAAAAAAAAAUGUCCCCCCUCCCCCUCCUAACCUAAUGUCCUCCUACCUUUCCCCCACCCCUCAGCGGUGGGUGGGGGCCCUAAAUACUAAUUGGGGGGGACCUAAUGUCCUCCCCCCUGCCCCCACCCCUAAGCGGUGGGUGGGGGCCCUAAAUUAGAAUGAGGGGGGGAGGACCUAAUGUCCUCCCCCUGACCCCCAGCCCUGAGCCUGUUUUUUUUUUAUUUUAUUUUUUAAUUCCGUUGGGUAUUAUGGCUUUUUAUUUGGCCUUUUUAAGGCUGAAAAAAGAAGAUUUUAGAAGAAAGAAAACAUCAAAAGGUAAGUUUAUUUGUAUUUUUUUACAGGUACUUAGUUAAAUGGUCCCCCCUCAUUAUUUUUAGUGUGAGGGGGGUAGGUAGGGGUUAAUUCUUUGGGGGAGGGGGUGACUAGGGAUUUGCGGGAGGCGGGGUUAUUUUUUAUGUAGGGGUGGGGGCCAGGGGGAAGGACAUUAGGUCUCCCCCCCCUAAUUAGUAUUUAGGGCCCCCACCCUCAUUCUAAUUUAGGGCCCCCACCCACUGCUCAGGGGUGGGGGCCAGGGGGGAGGAUAUUAGGUCCCCCUCCCUAAUUAGUAUUUAGGGCCCCCACCCACCACUCAGGGGUGGGGGCCAGAGGGGAGGACAUUAGGUCCCCCCCUAAUUAGUAUUUAGGGUCCCCACCCACCGCUCAGGGGUGGGGGCCAGGGGGGAGGACAUUAGGUCCUCCCCCCUCAUUCUAAGUUAGGGCCCCCACCCACUGCUCAGGGGUGGGGGCCAGAGGGGAGGACAUUAGGUUCCCCCCCCAUUAGUAUUUAGGGCCCCCACCCACCACUCAGGGGUGGGGGCCAGGGGGGAGGACAUUAGGUCCUCGACCCUCAUUUUUUAACAGUGAGAUGCUCCUACUCGCGGUAUAGCGAGUAGGGGCACAAUUUACUAAUACUAAGUAAUUUUUACUUAGUAUUAGUAAAUUUGGCUGAAAGACCAAUUUAGGUCUUUCAGCCUUUUGGUAGAUAACUCCCUAAUACCAUGGGAAUUAGGGAGUUAUCUACCAAGCGGCUGCAAUAGAAAUUCAGAAGUUCCGAAGUCCCGAAUUUCGGCAUGCCGAACUGAACCGGAAAAUUUUCCUUGAGCCUCCGUGUCCUUUAAUAAAAUUACCAGAUUUUACUAAUUACAUGACGUAAAGUCAUGAUUUUAUUAAGGACACCGAGGCGAGUAUUAGCCCGCCCAAUGAUAGGUAAGCCAUACAUGUAUCUUCCCACCCAAUUGCUUAUAAACAGGUAGGAGUGAUUUGGAUGUUCAGAUGCAGUGUUAUAUACUAAUAAUAAUAAUUUUAAUUUUGAAUUUGCUGGACUUAAGAAAAAUGUUUCAGAUAUGAACGCUUUUUAAAAAACUUGUACAGCUUAUAUGCAUGACAACGAUAUUUGAAUAUAUUUUACCAUAUAUCUCUCUGUCUCUUACAGCUUAACCCUGUGAUGGAAUAACCGGGAUCAUCCUCUAUCUCCUAACUAUACCGGAAGACUCCCCGGAACCCUCUACCGGAGAUUACCCAAGUUUAAGAAUUUUUCCCGUCGAUGUGUUCAGCUUCGGCAUCAGCUAGAAAGAGGGAGUGGCUUAGGUCACAUGAGGGGACAUAGUCCAAGGACUGGUCCCAUUGGUUAAUAUAUCUG